UCUUCUUAACGUUUUAUUAGUAUUAUAUUAUAUUAGAAUUAUCAAUUUAGAACCCUAAUCCAAGUUACAACUCUUUCUUUAGCCUUCACGUCUAAACCCUACAACCUCUCUAUUUUCUAAUAUACACUAGCACGCCAAAACUCGAUCCUCCCACCGCCAUCGCCACCAAGGAUCACUGCCAUUGCAUUGAUUUCUCUUUGCCUCUCCAUCGUUGCUCAAUCCAGUCCAUCAUGUUUUAUUUUGAGGCACAAAGGAGCUUGCACAGGCCUUGAGAGAAAAAAACAACCCUUGGUUUUAUUGAUGUUGGUGUUGCUGCAACAUGGGAAGAAGGAGAUCAAGAUUUCAAAGGCCAAUUUGAUGUAAGCCGUGGCUUUUGUGAUGGGUGGAAUUCAAGAAGCCUGCAAUGAUAUUUAAAUCUUUCAACGGUAUCAUAUACAUAAUACCAAGUUUUGUAUUUUUAUAUUCCCAGGUGAUAUAUUGUUUUAACCAAUCCAGUUGAUUGUAUUUUUAUAUUCCCAAUAUUUGAUAAUUGUUUUAACCAAUUCAGUUGAUUGUAUUAGUUGCGGUGGAGGUUGGCUAUUAUGGUCAAAUCGAAACCAAAGGCAUGUGGAUGAAACUUUGAAGUUAGUAGUGGAUUUGGUGCAAACAACCUGUACACUUGCUGUGGAAUAUAUGGAAGUUUAGAGAAAUAAUCAGUCUAGAUAGCCUGUUGAAGGGUGUACAUGGCCUCUAUGGAUUUGGGGCUUCAAGCAGUAGAGAUAGAGUGUGAAUUUAAUAGUCCAGUAGAUGAAGUAAAGUCAGCUAGACCUACCAAUUUGAGCAUUGGCCACAUCCUUAAUGAUGUUAGACUACUUGGUAGUUGGCUCUUCUAUUAGGAAUAUAUUUUUCUCUUGUGGCUUUCCUUGAACAAAUAGACCAACAAAGAAGAUAGCAUUUGAAGCAAAGAACUGGCUGGGUUUGCUAGACAAUGAUGUAUUGGAUGGAGGAGCAUCCCCCAUGUAUUAAGACUCUACUAAACAGUAAUGUACCUGCUCAUUGAAAAAAAAAAAAAAAAAAA
Molecule: long non-coding RNA, 1057 nt
Organism: Quercus robur (English oak)
Lineage: Eukaryota; Viridiplantae; Streptophyta; Magnoliopsida; Fagales; Fagaceae
Exons: 3
Source: RefSeq, a predicted model, not a curated record